GACAUUGCUGGGAAGCAGAUCAAGCUUGAGCGGAGCCGUCCUGCGGGUGCAAGGCGUUUGGUGUCAAAGCCUGAGCAGGAGCAAGAUGAACUCAAUCUUUGUCCGAGCCCUUUUGAUGAUUUAUCAGCAGGACGACUAGCAGCAUUUUCUCCUGGAGUAAUUACAUCUAGCUGCAUGAACAAUGGAUCAGCCCAAGUUUUACCUUCUGCUGUCCAGUCGCCUGUGGCUUCAUUUAUUGAAUCUCAUCGGAGUUCUAGUGUUCCAAAUAACUUGCCCUCUCCACUGACAGUGGCAUCUGUUGGUAAACAAAUUUGCCUUAAUGAAUCUAAUCACUCCAUGGAUGAAUUAAUGUUCGGUAACCAAUGCAUUCCAAGUUUCCACCCUCAUUCCUUGCCAGAAUAUCACGAUAGUUUAGCCAAUGGCAUUCCAUAUAACUCCUCAACGACUAUCGGAGGCAUGGCUCGCAGUGUUGGUUCCAAAGUGACUGAAGGAAUCAACAGCAGGCACAUUCAAGGAGUAGGUUCAAAUGGGCACCUGAUGGAACUUAAUGGAGGGGUUUUUGGCUCUUCUGGAAAUGGAACUGGCUCUCUUCCUGGGCAUCAUUACAUAUGGAACAAUUCAAACUCAGGUCGGCAACAUCAUGCAAACCGUAUGAUUUGGCCAAAUUCACCAUCAUUUACCAAUGGUGUUCAUCACCUUCCUCAUAUGCCUGGACUUCCUCGAGCAGCUCCAGUUAUGCUCAACACAUUACCUGCACAUCAUCACAUUGGAUCUGCACCGGCUGUUAAUCCUUCCUUGUGGGAUAGGCGACAUGCUUAUUCUGG
This 824-nucleotide unclassified non-coding RNA is filed under the name Hevea brasiliensis (rubber tree). The record is from RNAcentral. Lineage: Eukaryota; Viridiplantae; Streptophyta; Magnoliopsida; Malpighiales; Euphorbiaceae.